RNAcentral lists this ribosomal RNA (417 nucleotides) under Salmonella enterica. RNAcentral describes it as "partial 23S ribosomal RNA". It matches the Rfam family "Bacterial large subunit ribosomal RNA", at positions 161 to 617 of the family's 2925-position model. Lineage: Bacteria; Pseudomonadati; Pseudomonadota; Gammaproteobacteria; Enterobacterales; Enterobacteriaceae. RNAcentral also lists the same sequence under 1 other name. The record is from RNAcentral.
AAUCCAUAGGUUAAUGAGGCGAACCGGGGGAACUGAAACAUCUAAGUACCCCGAGGAAAAGAAAUCAACCGAGAUUCCCCCAGUAGCGGCGAGCGAACGGGGAGGAGCCCAGAGCCUGAAUCAGCAUGUGUGUUAGUGGAAGCGUCUGGAAAGGCGCGCGAUACAGGGUGACAGCCCCGUACACAAAAGCGCAUGUGCUGUGAGCUCGAUGAGUAGGGCGGGACACGUGGUAUCCUGUCUGAAUAUGGGGGGACCAUCCUCCAAGGCUAAAUACUCCUGACUGACCGAUAGUGAACCAGUACCGUGAGGGAAAGGCGAAAAGAACCCCGGCGAGGGGAGUGAAAAAGAACCUGAAACCGUGUACGUACAAGCAGUGGGAGCACCCUUUGGGUGUGACUGCGUACCUUUUGUAUAAUG